RNAcentral lists this ribosomal RNA (207 nucleotides) under uncultured bacterium. Its description in RNAcentral is "partial 16S ribosomal RNA". It matches the Rfam family "Bacterial small subunit ribosomal RNA", at positions 568 to 774 of the family's 1533-position model. The record is from RNAcentral.
UCCGUAGGCGGCUAUGCACGUCGCGCGUUAAAUGUUGAGGCUCAACUUCAACACUGCUCGCGAUACGGCGUAGCUAGAGACCGGGAGAGGCACACGGAAUUGCUGGUGUAGGGGUAAUAUCCGUUAAUAUCAGCAAGAACACCAAAUGCGAAGGCAGUGUGCUGGAACGGUUCUGACGCUCAGGGACGAAAGCGUGGGGAGCGAAAG